RNAcentral lists this ribosomal RNA (40 nucleotides) under Stemphylium sp. SFCF20120803-44. RNAcentral describes it as "partial 18S ribosomal RNA". The record is from RNAcentral. Lineage: Eukaryota; Fungi; Ascomycota; Dothideomycetes; Pleosporales; Pleosporaceae.
AGAGGGUCCUCGGUAGGGUGAACCUGCGGAGGGAUCAUUA